This is a non-coding RNA of Castor canadensis (American beaver), 73 nucleotides long. Lineage: Eukaryota; Metazoa; Chordata; Mammalia; Rodentia; Castoridae. The record is from the annotation of a RefSeq genome assembly.
GGAGGUAUGGCUCAAAUGAUAGAGUGCUUGCCUAGCAAGCAAGAGGUCCUGAGUUCAAAUCCCAGUGCUGCCA